UCGCUAGUAAUCGCAGAUCAGAAUGCUGCGGUGAAUACGUUCCCGGGUCUUGUACACACCGCCCGUCACACCAUGGGAGCCGGGAAUGCCCGAAGUCGGUGACCCAACCGUAAGGAGGGAGCCGCCGAAGGCAGGCCUGGUAACUGGGGUGAAGUCGUAACAAGGUAAC
RNAcentral lists this ribosomal RNA (169 nucleotides) under uncultured bacterium. RNAcentral's name for it is "partial 16S ribosomal RNA". It matches the Rfam family "Bacterial small subunit ribosomal RNA", at positions 1332 to 1500 of the family's 1533-position model. The record is from RNAcentral.